CCUACGUGAGGCAGCAGUGAGGAAUAUUGGUCAAUGGCCGAAAGGCUGAACCAGCCACGUAGCGUGAGGGAUGACUGCCCUAUGGGUUGUAAACCUCUUUUAUGCGGGGAUAAAGGUGUCCACGUGUGGAUGUUUGCAGGUACCGCAUGAAUACGGACCGGCUAAUUCCGUGCCAGCAGCCGCGGUAAUACGGAGGGUCCGGGCGUUAUCCGGAUUUAUUGGGUGUAAAGGGAGCGUAGGGCGGUCUUUAAGCGUGCCGUGAAAUUUUGUGGCUCAACCAUGAGAGUGCGGCGCGAACUGGAGACCUAGAGUGCGGGGAAGGCAGGCGGAAUUCGUGGUGUAGCGGUGAAAUGCUUAGAGAUCACGAAGAACACCGAUUGCGAAGGC
RNAcentral lists this ribosomal RNA (387 nucleotides) under uncultured bacterium. RNAcentral describes it as "partial 16S ribosomal RNA". It matches the Rfam family "Bacterial small subunit ribosomal RNA", at positions 338 to 722 of the family's 1533-position model. The record is from RNAcentral.